GUGCUCACUUUGGCAGCACAUACACUAAAAUUGCAACGAUACAGAGAAGAUCAGCAUGGCCCCUAUGCAAAGAUGACAUGAAAAAUCUCGAAUGUUCAACAUUGUU
This is a non-coding RNA of Otolemur garnettii (small-eared galago), 106 nucleotides long. The record is from Rfam. Lineage: Eukaryota; Metazoa; Chordata; Mammalia; Primates; Galagidae.